CGAGMGCAACCCUUAUCCUUUGUUGCCAGCGRUCCGGCCGGGAACUCAAAGGAGACUGCCAGUGAUAAACUGGAGGAAGGUGGGGAUGACGUCAAGUCAUCAUGGCCCUUACGAGUAGGGCUACACACGUGCUACAAUGGCGCAUACAAAGAGAAGCGACCUCGCGAGAGCAAGCGGACCUCAUAAAGUGCGUCGUAGUCCGGAUUGGAGUCUGCAACUCGACUCCAUGAAGUCGGAAUCGCUAGUAAUCGUGGAUCAGAAUGCCACGGUGAAUACGUUCCCGGGCCUUGUACACACCGCCCGUCACACCAUGGGAGUGGGUUGCAAAAGAAGUAGGUAGCUUAAACCCUUG
RNAcentral lists this ribosomal RNA (352 nucleotides) under Enterobacter sp. RNAcentral's name for it is "bacterial SSU rRNA". It matches the Rfam family "Bacterial small subunit ribosomal RNA", at positions 1093 to 1445 of the family's 1533-position model. Lineage: Bacteria; Pseudomonadati; Pseudomonadota; Gammaproteobacteria; Enterobacterales; Enterobacteriaceae. The record is from RNAcentral.